CAUCAUAUGACCUUCAUGUAUGGUGUGUGCAACUGUAAUGAUGUAACCUGCAUAAGAGUGCA
RNAcentral lists this small RNA (62 nucleotides) under Plasmodium falciparum 3D7. Its description in RNAcentral is "Pfa-starR6525". The record is from RNAcentral. Lineage: Eukaryota; Apicomplexa; Aconoidasida; Haemosporida; Plasmodiidae.